Molecule: ribosomal RNA, 445 nt
Filed under: uncultured bacterium
Lineage: Bacteria
Description: SSU rRNA
Rfam family: Bacterial small subunit ribosomal RNA
Source: RNAcentral
AGAACGAACGCUGGCGGCAUGCCUAACACAUGCAAGUCGAACGAGACCUUCGGGUCUAGUGGCGCACGGGUGCGUAACGCGUGGGAAUCUGCCCAAAGGUUCGGAAUAACUCAGGGAAACUUGAGCUAAUACCGGAUGAUGUCGCAAGACCAAAGAUUUAUUGCCUUUGGAUGAGCCCGCGUAGGAUUAGCUUGUUGGUGAGGUAAAGGCUCACCAAGGCUACGAUCCUUAGCUGGUCUGAGAGGAUGAUCAGCCACACUGGGACUGAGACACGGCCCAGACUCCUACGGGAGGCAGCAGUGGGGAAUAUUGGACAAUGGGCGAAAGCCUGAUCCAGCAAUGCCGCGUGAGUGAUGAAGGCCCUAGGGUUGUAAAGCUCUUUUACCCGGGAAGAUAAUGACUGUACCGGGAGAAUAAGCCCGGCUAACUCCGCGCCAGCAGCCGC